RNAcentral lists this ribosomal RNA (284 nucleotides) under uncultured bacterium. Its description in RNAcentral is "partial 16S ribosomal RNA". It matches the Rfam family "Bacterial small subunit ribosomal RNA", at positions 355 to 652 of the family's 1533-position model. The record is from RNAcentral.
UGGGGAAUAUUGCACAAUGGGCGAAAGCCUGAUGCAGCGACGCCGCGUGCGGGAUGAAGGCCUUCGGGUUGUAAACCGCUUUUAAUUGGGAGCAACGAGAGUGAGUGUACCUUUUGAAUAAGCACCGGCUAACUACGUGCCAGCAGCCGCGGUAAUACNUAGGGUGCAAGCGUUAUCCGGAAUUAUUGGGCGUAAAGAGCUCGUAGGCGGUUUGUCACGCCUGGUGUGAAAGUCCAUCGCUUAACGGUGGAUCUGCGCCGGGUACGGGCAGGCUAGAGUGCAGU